Molecule: ribosomal RNA, 253 nt
Filed under: uncultured bacterium
Lineage: Bacteria
Description: partial 16S ribosomal RNA
Rfam family: Bacterial small subunit ribosomal RNA
Source: RNAcentral
UACGUAGGGGGCAAGCGUUGUCCGGAAUCAUUGGGCGUAAAGCGCGCGUAGGCGGCCCGGUAAGUCCGCUGUAAAAGUCCAGGGCUCAACCCUGGAAAGCCGGUGGAUACUGUCGGGCUAGAGUCCGGAAGAGGCGAGUGGAAUUCCUGGUGUAGCGGUGAAAUGCGCAGAUAUCAGGAAGAACACCUAUGGCGAAGGCAGCUCACUACUCAAUCAUUGACGCUGAGGCACGAAAGCGUGGGGAUCAAACAGG